Molecule: ribosomal RNA, 254 nt
Filed under: uncultured bacterium
Lineage: Bacteria
Description: partial 16S ribosomal RNA
Rfam family: Bacterial small subunit ribosomal RNA
Source: RNAcentral
CACGUAGGGUGCGAGCGUUGUCCGGAAUUAUUGGGCGUAAAGAGCUCGUAGGCGGUGUGUCGCGUCGGCCGUGAAAACCUGCAGCUUAACUGUGGGCUUGCGGUCGAUACGGGCAUCACUGGAGUUCGGCAGGGGAGACUGGAAUUCCCGGUGUAGCGGUGAAAUGUGUAGAGAUCGGGAGGAACACCGGUGGCGAAGGCGGGUCUCUGGGCAACUCCUGACGCUGAGGCGCGAAAGCGUGGGGAGCAAACGGG